Molecule: ribosomal RNA, 493 nt
Filed under: uncultured bacterium
Lineage: Bacteria
Description: partial 16S ribosomal RNA
Rfam family: Bacterial small subunit ribosomal RNA
Source: RNAcentral
AACGAACGCUGGCGGCGCGUCUUAAACAUGCAAGUCGAACGGCAGGAAGGGGCUUGCCCCUUCUGAGAGUGGCGGACUGGUGAGUAACACGUGGGUGACAUACCUUUUAGUUGGGGAUAGCUAUUAGAAAUAGUAGGUAAUACCGAAUGUGACCGUACCUGUUAGAGGGGUACGAGGAAAGGAGCUAAGGCUUCGCUAAAAGAAUGGCUCACGGCCCAUUAUGCUCGUUGGUGAGGUAACGGCCCACCAAGGCGAUGAUGGGUAUCCGGCCUGAGAGGGUGAACGGACACAUUGGGACUGAGAUACGGCCCAGACUUCUACGGGAGGCAGCAGUUAAGAAUAUUCCGCAAUGGACGAAAGUCUGACGGAGCGACGCCGCGUGGAUGAAGAAUGCCGAAAGGUUGUAAAAUCCUUUUAAGCCUGAUGAAUAAGCACAGUAGGGAAUGAUUGUGCGGUGACCGUAGGGCUUGAAUAAGCACCGGCUAAUUACGUG